Non-coding RNA from Mycena latifolia, 94 nucleotides. The record is from the annotation of a GenBank genome assembly. Lineage: Eukaryota; Fungi; Basidiomycota; Agaricomycetes; Agaricales; Mycenaceae.
GGCUUGGUGGCGUAAUGGUAACACACUCCGUAAUAAUGCACAUUUCUCAUAUCGGUUUAACGGAGAGUCCGGAGUUCAAUUCUCCGUCAAGCCG